This 315-nucleotide long non-coding RNA is filed under the name Elaeis guineensis (African oil palm). Its description in RNAcentral is "long non-coding RNA (EGUI_LNC075721)". The record is from RNAcentral. Lineage: Eukaryota; Viridiplantae; Streptophyta; Magnoliopsida; Arecales; Arecaceae.
UUCGGGUAAUUAUUACAGUAUAGAGCAUCGUAGUAGUAGAUGCUUAUUAUGGUAGGCUGGUGGCAAUGUUUAUGUUACCUUUGCUUCUUCAAGAAGAAGGAAAAUUGAACUUUCAUCGGCAACUCAAAUAUACAACAUAAAUAGUACAUGGCUUAAAGAAGACUGGAGAAGGCUCUCUAAAAAAAAGUAUAUGCCUACAAGAAAUAACUUAUUAUUUAGUCGUAAUUUACAUUACAUGUAAUCUAAUAGAGUGUUUUGUGCGUGAAUUGGGGCUUGUACAACUAGUCAUAACUCCCUACAUAGCAACCACAGGAC